This 498-nucleotide ribosomal RNA is filed under the name uncultured bacterium. RNAcentral's name for it is "partial 16S ribosomal RNA". It matches the Rfam family "Bacterial small subunit ribosomal RNA", at positions 29 to 523 of the family's 1533-position model. The record is from RNAcentral.
AUUGAACGCUGGCGGCAUGCCUUACACAUGCAAGUCGAACGGUAACGCGGGGCAACCUGGCGACGAGUGGCGAACGGGUGAGUAACGCAUCGGAACGUGCCCAGUAGUGGGGGAUAGCCCGGCGAAAGCCGGAUUAAUACCGCAUACGACCUACGGGGGAAAGGGGGGGCUCGCAAGACCUCUCGCUAUUGGAGCGGCCGAUGUCAGAUUAGGUAGUUGGUGGGGUAAAGGCCGACCAAGCCUGCGGUCUGUAGCUGGGCUGGGAGGACGACCAGCCACACUGGGACUGAGACACGGCCCAGACUCCUACGGGAGGCAGCAGUGGGGAAUUUUGGACAAUGGGCGCAAGCAUGAUCCAGCCAUGCCGCGUGCGGGAAGAAGGCCUUCGGGUUGUAAACCGCUUUUGUCAGGGAAGAAAAGCCUUGGGUUAAUACCCUGGGGUGAUGACGGUACCUGAAGAAUAAGCACCGACUAACUACGUGCCAGCAGCCGCGGUAA